This 412-nucleotide RNase P RNA is filed under the name Desulfovibrionaceae bacterium. RNAcentral describes it as "RNase P RNA component class A". It matches the Rfam family "Bacterial RNase P class A". Rfam says of the family: Ribonuclease P (RNase P) is a ubiquitous endoribonuclease, found in archaea, bacteria and eukarya as well as chloroplasts and mitochondria. Lineage: Bacteria; Pseudomonadati; Thermodesulfobacteriota; Desulfovibrionia; Desulfovibrionales; Desulfovibrionaceae. The record is from RNAcentral.
GGAGCCGGACAGACCGUCGCCGCAGGCCGUAUGGCCUGGGGAGGAAAGUCCGGGCUCCACAGGGCAGGACGCUGGGUAACACCCAGGGGGGGCGACCCUCGGACAGCGCCACAGAAAGCAAACCGCCCCGCGCCCGAAUUCGCAUGACUGGCCCGUUACCAAGGGUCGAUCAGGCUGUUUGGGAGGCGAGGUAAGGGUGAAACGGUGGGGUAAGAGCCCACCAGAUGCCACGGUGACGCGGCAUGCUCGGCAUACCCCGUCUGGAGCAAGACCAAAUAGGAGAGGCGGUCGGCCCGGCCAUUGCCUUUCGGGUAGGUUGCUUGAGGGCGUGGGCAACCACGCUCCUAGAGGAAUGACGGUCACGCGCGGUAACCCCGCGCGACAGAACCCGGCUUAUCGUCCGGCUCCCGCA